UUGUGAAUCUAUGAUUGUUUACAAUUGUUAUAAAUGAACAUACGGAAAAAAGGUAUUAUUGUGAAUGUAAUUCGUUAGCGGAGAAAUUUGAUUGUAAACGUAUAUUAAAAACCUUUUGGAAUUCAUUGGUUGACAAACAGAGAUCUCAAAAUGGCCAUUAGAUUUUCAAAAUUCAAUGCAUAGGGGUAGUUUUCACCCUCUGUAGCGGUGCAUAUCGGUACUGAAAUCGA
Molecule: long non-coding RNA, 230 nt
Organism: Diprion similis
Lineage: Eukaryota; Metazoa; Arthropoda; Insecta; Hymenoptera; Diprionidae
Exons: 3
Source: RefSeq, a predicted model, not a curated record